RNAcentral lists this ribosomal RNA (516 nucleotides) under Nematoda environmental sample. Its description in RNAcentral is "SSU rRNA". It matches the Rfam family "Eukaryotic small subunit ribosomal RNA", at positions 58 to 570 of the family's 1831-position model. The record is from RNAcentral. Lineage: Eukaryota; Metazoa; Nematoda.
UCUAAGCACAUGCCCUAGUACGGUGAAGCCGCGAAUAGCUCAUUACAACAGCCACCGUUUAUUAGAAUAUCGUUAUCCUACUUGGAUAACUGUGGCAAUUCUAGAGCUAAUACAUGCAAAAAAGCUCCGACCGCAAGGGAAGAGCGCAUUUAUUAGAAUAAAAACCAAUCGGGCUUCGGCCCGUUCACUUGGUGAAUCUGAAUAACUUUGCCAAUCGCACGGUCCUAGCACCGGCGAUGUAUCUUUCAAGUGUCUGACUUAUCAACUCUCAAAGGUAGGUUAUACGCCUACCAUGGUAGUAACGGGUAACGGAGAAUAAGGGUUCGACUCCGGAGAGGGAGCCUGAGAAACGGCUACCACAUCCAAGGAAGGCAGCAGGCGCGCAAAUUACCCACUUCCAGAACGGAGAGGUAGUGACGAAAAAUAACGAGACAGUCCUCUACGAGGUCUGUCAUCGGAAUGGGUACAAUUUAAAUCCUUUAACGAGGAUCUAUUGGAGGGCAAGUCUGGUGCCAG